Molecule: ribosomal RNA, 302 nt
Filed under: uncultured bacterium
Lineage: Bacteria
Description: partial 16S ribosomal RNA
Rfam family: Bacterial small subunit ribosomal RNA
Source: RNAcentral
GCAGUCGCCGCGGGAAUACAGAGGGUGCGAGCGUUAAUCGGAUUUACUGGGCGUAAAGCGUGCGUAGGCGGCUUUUUAAGUCGGAUGUGAAAUCCCUGAGCUUAACUUAGGAAUUGCAUUCGAUACUGGGAAGCUAGAGUAUGGGAGAGGAUGGUAGAAUUCCAGGUGUAGCGGUGAAAUGCGUAGAGAUCUGGAGGAAUACCGAUGGCGAAGGCAGCCAUCUGGCCUAAUACUGACGCUGAGGUACGAAAGCAUGGGGAGCAAACAGGAUUAGAGACCCCCGUAGUCCCUGUCUCUUAUAC